UACGGAGGGAGCUAGCGUUGUUCGGAAUUACUGGGCGUAAAGCGCACGUAGGCGGUGAUUCAAGUCAGAGGUGAAAGCCCCCGGCUCAACUGGGGAGGGUCACUCGAUACUGAUCGACUUGAAGGCAGGAGAGGGAAGCGGAAUUCCCGGUGUAGUGGUGAAAUGCGUAGAUAUCGGGAGGAACACCAGUGGCGAAGGCGGCUUCCUGGCCUGUUCUUGACGCUGAGGCGCGAAAGCUAGGGGAGCAAACGGG
This 253-nucleotide ribosomal RNA is filed under the name uncultured bacterium. Its description in RNAcentral is "partial 16S ribosomal RNA". It matches the Rfam family "Bacterial small subunit ribosomal RNA", at positions 524 to 776 of the family's 1533-position model. The record is from RNAcentral.